GACGAACGCUGGCGGCGUGCUUAACACAUGCAAGUCGAACGGAAAGGCCCCUUUGGGGGUACUCGAGUGGCGAACGGGUGAGUAACACGUGAGCAACCUGCCCUUGACUUCGGGAUAACUUCAGGAAACUGGGGCUAAUACCGGAUAGGAAUCCUUGCUGCAUGGUGGGGGUUGGAAAGCUUCGGCGGUUUUGGAUGGACUCGCGGCUUAUCAGCUUGUUGGUGGGGUAGUGGCUUACCAAGGCUUUGACGGGUAGCCGGCCUGAGAGGGCGACCGGCCACAUUGGGACUGAGAUACGGCCCAGACUCCUACGGGAGGCAGCAGUGGGGAAUAUUGCACAAUGGGCGGAAGCCUGAUGCAGCAACGCCGCGUGCGGGAUGACGGCCUUCGGGUUGUAAACCGCUUUCAGCAGGGGCGAAGCUUGUGGUGACGGUACCUGCAGAAGAAGCACCGGCUAACUACGUG
RNAcentral lists this ribosomal RNA (465 nucleotides) under uncultured bacterium. RNAcentral describes it as "partial 16S ribosomal RNA". It matches the Rfam family "Bacterial small subunit ribosomal RNA", at positions 28 to 507 of the family's 1533-position model. The record is from RNAcentral.